UAUGUUAAGGUGCUUUUGUAACAAAAAGAGAAUAGGGAAUACGGUGAAAAUCCGUAACAGCACCCACUACUGUAACUCUGACGAAUUGCUUUUUAAUCGUUUUGGUUAGCCACUGACGUAUGUUGGGAAGGUUCAAAGCAUAGUAGGAUGACGGGAAGCCAGGAGACCUGCCUUAACAGAUU
This 182-nucleotide non-coding RNA is filed under the name human gut metagenome. The record is from RNAcentral.